CAGGGAGGAAUCUACCAUCUCUGGAACACUGAGGAGGAGACAUAGAGGAUGAGGCUCCAUGGAGGAGCCGCCUCCCUCUGACCUCACAGCUGCCAGGACCUGAACAUGUCAAACAAACACAUUCACUGAUGUCAUUAGAGCUCCAUGCCGUCAUGAUCCACACACCAACAGUGUCCUCUGUUGGUAUCACACUGAAUUGACUCAAACUGGCCUGAAGGAGAACACCGCAGCUCAGACUGGAGCUGACAUGGAGACGGGCCUGGAUGAGGACAUGGAUGAGGACACAGAGGAAACAGAACAAGAAAUAAACAUCAGGUGAAGUGUAAUCAUAAAAACAUAUUGACAUGAGGUCUUAUGUAUUUUCUCCCUCACAGUGAAGAGCAGAGUUGUUGGUUAGAGUUCCCACGAUCUCUUGACCUGCAGCGUCCACACACCAGCACUCGUGACCACGCCCACUGCACUGCACAGGUUUUGCAUGCAGCAGUGACAGGCCACCAAGGCAGGUGAUGAUGCUCAGCAGCCACGCCAUGGUCUAUGUGCCUCCACAGCGACUUGGCCUUCCUGUUUAUAUCCACUCAUAUCUGCUGAGUCAGUGAGAGGACAAA
Long non-coding RNA from Cynoglossus semilaevis (tongue sole), 605 nucleotides. RefSeq lists it as uncharacterized. Lineage: Eukaryota; Metazoa; Chordata; Actinopteri; Pleuronectiformes; Cynoglossidae. The transcript is spliced from 3 exons. The record is from RefSeq and is a predicted model, not a curated record.